Molecule: long non-coding RNA, 5806 nt
Organism: Patiria miniata (bat star)
Lineage: Eukaryota; Metazoa; Echinodermata; Asteroidea; Valvatida; Asterinidae
Exons: 16
Source: RefSeq, a predicted model, not a curated record
GUUGUUGGUUGUUUGUAUAGAUGAGCUCAACAAGGCACCGAAGGGCAGGCUAGAAUAUACGAGAAGCGGCAAGCAUGCCUUUUUUGUGGCAGUAUGGUUUCCAAGGCAGCCAGGCACAUGAAAGAUAUGCACGCUGAUGAGUCUGAGGUGAAACAUGCCAAGGCCAAGGAGCCCAAGUCAACUAACAGGCGACCUACUGUUGAAUUUGAGAGGCUCCGUUUGAAAGGGAAUUUCUACCAUAAAUAUGGAGGUGCUGUCAUCUGGUGUGGGUCAGAUCAUCGUUGCCAGAAAUCCUCCCUUCGGUCAAGAGGUCCAAUCUUCAGAUAACCUGCCAUGCCCAUUUUGCAUGUUCUGUCGGCAAUGGUCCAUCAUCAGAUAUCCAUGGUGACUCGACCUGGUACAGAUAAGGGGAAAGAGAGGUCGCGCAGUGCCUGUGCUUCUGACCAGUGGAAGUCUUGAUGGAAAACCGUGAAGCAGUUGGGGCGCAUAAUUCGAAUCCCUAUAUAUUUGCUCGCACCCGAAACUCCUUGAAACAAGUGAGAGGAUGGGAUUGCCUAACUGCUGUUGCCAAGCAGGCUAAUCUGCAAGAGCCUCCUGCAGAAACGAGCACAAAGCUGAGAAAGUAUGUUGCAACGGUGUCUCAGAUUAUUAGACCUAAACAGCAAUGCGCUCGACUGGCUAGCAAGGCACCUGUGCCACGACAUAACUGUCCACAGGGACUUCUACCGCCAACACGAGUCGACACUAGAGCUUGCGAAAGUCAGCAAGCUACUUCUUGCUGUAGACAAAGGCAAGAUAGCAAAACUGUCUGGCCGAAAACUUGAUGAUAUUGAUUUGGAAGGUGUUUUGGCUGAUGAAUCAUCAAGUGAAGAGGAGGAUGCAGAUGUUUGCAAAGACCCGUCAUCAGGUGGCAGGAAGCUGGGCACUCAGCAGAUCCUUGUGCUUAUUCAAAUAGCCCCUUCAUGAAUGUGACGUUACCGCAAGACAGGUGCAGUGCGCAAAUUCCUUGCGCGCUUUGUCACGUAACUCUUUGUGACGCCAUUUCUUAUAAACGCCAAGUUGCCUAUUCAACUUCAUUCUCGGUUGAGCAACCUUAUCUCGCUGACAUACGCAUUUUGUUCUCCGUGCAAUAUGAAUCCUAACCUGAUAAUGCAAAUCAAGAGAUACUAUCGGCCAUCAGAUCGUUGGCUAACUCGAUAGACAGUAAAGUAGAUUCAGCCUUUAAGAGGCAGCGUACCCUUGCCGACAGUCCACCAGACUUUAAAAGCGACGGUAACAAGGACCAGUUUCGCCACGAAGAAAAGCUCUCCAGCCUAAUUGACUCGGCCUUAGCAUCGUUAGACGCCGGAGACGUCAACGCAGCCAGAGAGGCCCUCAAGCAAGCCAGCACAGAAAUCAAACAGCGGCAGAAGCUGAUCAGGUUGGCCGAUCGUUCUUCCCAAGGUUGGGCCACGGUUAAAGAAUACGUCACCGACAAUUAAGCCGACGACUCGGACGAUGAGAAACGACUUAGAAAGGCGGAGAAAAUGGCGACCAGCAAGAAAUCAGAAGCCGCUAAGAAGUCCAAGGCCAAGGCUCGCAAUCCUGUACGUCCUUACCCUGCUGCGAGUUCUUUUCGUACCUACAGCCGGUACACAUAUCGUCAAGAUUUCCGGUCCUGUUUCCAGUGCGGAAUCGCAGGACAUAUCCGAUCCAACUGCCCCUCUCUUCGGGCCCUCCAACAGCCUCAGCGCCGGUCACAACCUUCAGCCACUGAUACCACCACAGCAUAGGGACUGGGAAGAGCAGGUCUCAACUACUCCUGUCCCAUCCGGUGUAAAGGGUGUUUUGGCUGAUGAAUCAUCAAGUGAAGAGGAGGAUGCAGAUAUUGCAAAGACCCGUCAUCAGGUGGCAGGAAGCUGGGCGCCCAGCAGUGCGUCUGAAAAUACGUAAGCCAUGGACAGGAGAAGAGAAACAGGCGAUCUACCAGCACCUCGGGGGACACAUACGGAAAAAUCAACUGCCAGAUGAGCUCAACAAGGCACCGAAGGGCAGGCUAGAAUAUACGAGAAGCGGCAAGCAUGCCUUUUUUGUGGCAGUAUGGUUUCCAAGGCAGCCAGGCACAUGAAAGAUAUGCACGCUGAUGAGUCUGAGGUAAAACAUGCCAAGGCCAAGGAGCCCAAGUCAACUAACAGGCGACCUACUGUUGAAUUUGAGAGGCUCCGUUUGAAAGGGAAUUUCUACCAUAAUAUGGAGGUGCUGUCAACUGGUGUGGGUCAGAUCAUCGUUGCCAGAAAUCCUCCCUUCGGUCAAGAGGUCCAAUCUUCAGAUAACCUGCCAUGCCCAUUUUGCAUGUUCCGUCGGCAAUGGUCCAUCAUCAGAUAUCCAUGGUGGUAAGGGGUGACAAGUUAAUACUGGCCUUCGGUAGGAAUCUGAUUGCAAAGGUUUGACCUGGGAAAGCUCAACUCGACCUGGUACAGAUAAGGGGAAAGAGAGGUCGCGCAGUGCCUGUGCUUCUGACCAGUGGAAGUCUUGAUGGAAAACCGUGAAGCAGUUGGGGCGCAUAAUGCGAAUCCCUAUAUAUUUGCUCGCCCCCGAAACUCCUUGAAACAAGUGAGAGGAUGGGAUUGCCUAACUGCUGUUGCCAAGCAGGCUAAUCUGCAAGAGCCUCCUGCAGAAACGAGCACAAAGCUGAGAAAGUAUGUUGCAACGGUGUCUCAGAUUAUAGACCUAAACAGCAAUGCGCUCGACUGGCUAGCAAGGCACCUGUGCCACGACAUAACUGUCCACAGGGACUUCUACCGCCAACACGAGUCGACACUAGAGCUUGCGAAAGUCAGCAAGCUACUUCUUGCUGAAGACAAAGGCAAGAUAGCAAAACUGUCUGGCCGAAAACUUGAUGAUAUUGAUUUGGAAGGUGUUUUGGCUGAUGAAUCAUCAAGUGAAGAGGAGGAUGCAGAUGUUUGCAAAGACCCGUCAUCAGGUGGCAGGAAGCUGGGCACCCAGCAGAUCCUUGUGCUUAUUCAAAUAGCCCCUUCAUGAAUGUGACGUUACCGCAAGACAGGUGCAGUGCGCAAAUUCCUUGCGCGCUUUGUCACGUAACUCUUUGUGACGCCAUUUCUUAUAAACGCCAAGUUGCCUAUUCAACUUCAUUCUCGGUUGAGCAACCUUAUCUCGCUGACAUACGCAUUUUGUUCGUGCAAUAUGAAUCCUAACCUGAUAAUGCAAAUCAAGAGAUACCUAUCGGCCAUCAGAUCGUUGGCUAACUCGAUAGACAGUAAAGUAGAUUCAGCCUUUAAGAGGCAGCGUACCCUUGCUGGCAGUCCACCAGACUUUAAAAGCGACGGUAACAAGGACCAGUUUCGCCACGAAGAAAAGCUCUCCAGCCUAAUUGACUCGGCCUUAGCAUCGUUAGACGCCGGAGACGUCAACGCAGCCAGAGAGGCCCUCAAGCAAGCCAGCACAGAAAUCAAACAGCGGCAGAAGCUGAUCAGGUUGGCCGAUCGUUCUUCCCAAGGUUGGGCCACGGUUAAAGAAUACGUCACCGACAAUUAAGCCGACGACUCGGACGAUGAGAAACGACUCAGAAAGGCGGAGAAAAUGGCGACCAGCAAGAAAUCAGAAGCCGCUAAGAAGUCCAAGGCCAAGGCUCGCAAUCCUGUACGUCCUUACCCUGCUGCGAGUUCUUUUCGUACCUACAGCCGGUACACAUAUCGUCAAGAUUUCCGGUCCUGUUUCCAGUGCGGAAUCGCAGGACAUAUCCGAUCCAACUGCCCCUCUCUUCGGGCCCUCCGACAGCCUCAGCGCCGGUCACAACCUUCAGCCACUGAUACCACCACAGCAUAGGGACUGGGAAGAGCAGGACUCAACUACUCCUGUCCCAUCCGGUGUAAAGGGUGUUUGGCUGAUGAAUCAUCAAGUGAAGAGGAGGAUGCAGAUGUUUGCAAAGACCCGUCAUCAGGUGGCAGGAAGUCGCGGCCCCAGCAGUGCGUCUGAAAAUACGUAAGCCAUGGACAGGAGAAGAGAAACAGGCGAUCUACCAGCACCUCGGGGGACACAUACGGAAAAAUCAACUGCCAGGUAAAGCAGUCUGCGAAAGUGUGAUAGCAGCACAUCCCCGAACAUCCCCGAGAUUUUUUUUUUAAUUUUUUUUUUUAUACACUUUCCAAUGGCCUCCUGUGAAUGUGAUAAAAUCUGAUGCCCCAGUAUGAGUUUUCUUUUACUUUGUGGAUCAUUCAUAAGAGAAGAAUGAGUAGUUACUGGUCUUUUUAAGUCUCCAGUUGGAGGUUUAGUGAUUUGUGACAAGAAACUUGAUAGGUUUAUGCUUUUUCGAUCAGUCUUAAGAGAGGAAUUUUUUAAGUAGUGCCUGAUCUCUCUUAGUCUGCAGAUGGAGAUUUAUGUAGGUGCGACAACUCCGAUACCCCCAGAACAUGAGUUUUCUUUUACUUUUGGAUCAUUCAUAAGAGAAGAACAAGUAGUAUGGUCUAUCUAAUUCUGUGAUUGGUUUAUUGGAAGUAGCUAACUGCCUUGUCCCUACAUUUAAGUCUAUAGUUGAAGUUUCAACUAAUAUCUGAUAGCCAGGAAUGUGAUAUCUUUUUUGGGACCUUUUGAUCACUCAUCAUAAGAGAAGAACCUGAGGAGUAGCUAAUGGCCUGCUGAGUCUGCUCUUGAAGGUUAUUAUUGAUUAAUGACAGAAAUCUUGAAUGCCCAGAACUUGAUUUGCUUUUUGACUGUUUGGAUCAAUCAUAAGAGAGUAGUGCUUCUUGUUCCCUCUAAUUCUUCGGUUUGAGAUUAAGUGAUGUGUGAUCUAUCUGAUUCCCCAGAACAUGAGUUUUCAUAAAAGAAAAAUAUUCCGCUUGGAAGUCUUUUGAUUUGUGACAUGUUUUGAUGGCCCAGAACUUGAAUUUGUCAUUUCUUUUAUAUCAUAAAUACGAGAAGAAACGUAUUGUUAGGUAACAGUUUUGUCUCUACAUGUAAGUUUAUUGUUCUAUAGUUGGCGUUCAACUGAUAGCUUAGAAAUCUGAUAGCCAGGGACAUGAUUGGUUUUGGACUUUUUGGAUCAAUCUUAGGAGAACCGUAUGAGUAGCUAAUAACCUGUUAAGUAUGUAGUUGGAGGUUUAGUGAAUUGUGAUACAAAUUUUAAUAACCCAGAGCUUGAUUUGCUUUGUGCCUGUUUCAACCAAUCAUAAGAGAGGAAUCUUAUGAGUAGUGCCUGGUGUUCUAAGACUGCAGUUGGAGAUUUAGUGAUGUGUGACAAAUAUCCUGAUACAUAAUAGCCAAGAACAUGAUUCACUUACACUUUAUCAAUCACAAGAGAAGAAUGAGUAGUUGUUGUCAUUUUCUCCAAGUAAUUUGGGUGAUAUGUGAAAGAUCUCAUUAUAGCCCAAAACUUGAUUUCUUUCUUUUUUGCAGUACUCGGACGUAUUUGAGUAGGGCUGUGAAAUUGUUUGAGAUAUUUGUUAAUAACUAUUGUUGCAGAUUUUUCUUUGAAUUGCUCAUAAACGAAAUAUCUUCAAUUUAACGCCUGGUUCAUUCGAUUUAGGUUGAAAUUGAAGAUCACGCAGAUCGGCAUUCGACAAUCAAAAUGAUUCAUUCUAUUUCACUAUACAAGCAUUCUAACGCAUUUUAGCUUCACUCGUCCCUAUCAAAGAUGCAUUCAUAUUAAAAGUAUCGAGUUGUUCAUUCAAUUCAAGAUGAUCGGGCAUUCGUUUUCAUUAAUGGGCAAAUAUAUUUCACAUUUUGUCAAACAUCUUUUAAGACUUCAUACGUGUCUGUAUUCCUAAGCUUAAAUCAUUUGAUGACUUCAAACCGUAGACUGACUUUCUUU